Molecule: small nuclear RNA, 104 nt
Organism: Pyrus x bretschneideri (Chinese white pear)
Lineage: Eukaryota; Viridiplantae; Streptophyta; Magnoliopsida; Rosales; Rosaceae
Source: RefSeq, a predicted model, not a curated record
UCAUCUUAAAUAUAAGGAAAAUAAAAUUAGAACGAUACAGAGAUGAUUAGUAUGGCCCCUGCGUAAAAAUAACACGUAUAAAGUGAGAAAUGGUCAAAAUUUUC